This 262-nucleotide unclassified non-coding RNA is filed under the name plant metagenome. RNAcentral describes it as "partial contains small subunit ribosomal RNA, internal transcribed spacer 1, and 5.8S ribosomal RNA". The record is from RNAcentral.
UCUCCGUUGGUGAACCAGCGGAGGGAUCAUUACCGAGUUUACAACUCCCAAACCCCUAUGUGAACGUUACCAAACUGUUGCCUCGGCGGGAAAUUCAUGCCCCGGGCGCGUCGCAGCCCCGGACCAAGGCGCCCGCCGGAGGACCAACCAAAACUCUUUUGUAUGUCCCUCGCGGACUUUUAUAAUUCUGAACCAUCUCGGCGCCCCUAGCGGGCGUUUCGAAAAUGAAUCAAAACUUUCAACAACGGAUCUCUUGGCUCUA